This 370-nucleotide ribosomal RNA is filed under the name uncultured organism. RNAcentral's name for it is "bacterial SSU rRNA". It matches the Rfam family "Bacterial small subunit ribosomal RNA", at positions 526 to 896 of the family's 1533-position model. The record is from RNAcentral.
CAUGUGGGGCAAGCGUUGUUCGGAAUUACUGGGCAUAAAGGGUGCGUAGGCGGCUUGUUAAGUCAGUGGUGAAAGUUUUCGGCCCAACCGGAAAAUUGCCGUUGAUACUGGCGAGCUUGAGUGCGUGAGGGAUAGGGGGAACGAGCAGUGUAGCGGUGAAAUGCGUAGAUAUUGCUCGGAAGGCCAGAGCCGAAGGGGCCCUAUUGGUACGUAACUGACGCUGAGGCACGAAAGCGUGGGGAGCAAACAGGAUUAGAUACCCUGGUAGUCCACGCCGUAAACGAUGAACACUAGGUGGGUGCCGAGCUAUCGGUGCCCGCCGUAGGCAAUUUGCUAAGUGUUCCGCCUGGGGAGUAUGGUCGCAAGGCUG